UACAGGGGGUGCAAGCGUUACUCGGAAUUAUUGGGCGUAAAGAGCGCGUAGGCGGCUUCGUAAGUCUGAUGUGAAAGCCCCGGACUCAAUUCGGGAAGUGCAUCGGAUACUGCGAAGCUGGAGUACUGGAGAGGAGAGUGGAAUUCCAGGUGUAGAGGUGAAAUUCGUAGAUAUCUGGAGGAACAACAGAGGCGAAGGCGGCUCUCUGGACAGUAACUGACGCUGAGGCGCGAAAGCGUGGGGAGCAAAC
Molecule: ribosomal RNA, 250 nt
Filed under: uncultured delta proteobacterium
Lineage: Bacteria; Deltaproteobacteria
Description: partial 16S ribosomal RNA
Rfam family: Bacterial small subunit ribosomal RNA
Source: RNAcentral